Molecule: unclassified non-coding RNA, 250 nt
Filed under: Hevea brasiliensis (rubber tree)
Lineage: Eukaryota; Viridiplantae; Streptophyta; Magnoliopsida; Malpighiales; Euphorbiaceae
Source: RNAcentral
GCUAAACAUAUAUUAAAUGUUGCCACAUCUAUCUAGUCCGUCCUUCCUUUGUUGCUUUGAGUUUAGUUGGGUGUAUUACAAAUUUAUAAUACAGGAUCUUAUAUCAAGAGCAUAUAGAUUAAAUAGCAUCAAGUAAAGAGAAAGUAAAAAAUGGCAGCAAAUACACCACACACUAAUACAGCAUCUUAUAUCUAGUUUAUAGAUUAAAUAGCGUCAAGUAAAGACAAAGUAAUAAAUGGCGGCAAUGAAA